ACUCCGUAGGUGAACCUGCGGAGGGAUCAUUACAGAGCUCUCGCCCUCGCGGGUAGAUCUCCCACCCACUGUUAUCGUUACUGUGUUGCUUUGGCGGGCCGCCGGGCCCCGCUCGGCCGCCGGCUCCGGCUGGCGCGCGCCCGCCAGAGGCCCAGCAAACUCUGAAUGUUAGUGUCGUCUGAGUACUAUAUAAUAGUUAAAACUUUCAACAACGGAUCUCUUGGUUCUG
This 229-nucleotide unclassified non-coding RNA is filed under the name plant metagenome. RNAcentral's name for it is "partial contains small subunit ribosomal RNA, internal transcribed spacer 1, and 5.8S ribosomal RNA". The record is from RNAcentral.